Molecule: long non-coding RNA, 1586 nt
Organism: Betta splendens (Siamese fighting fish)
Lineage: Eukaryota; Metazoa; Chordata; Actinopteri; Anabantiformes; Osphronemidae
Exons: 5
Source: RefSeq, a predicted model, not a curated record
UAUAGUGCCCUUUAGCAUUUUGGAUGUUUAAUUAGCUAGAGUACGUAUCCGUGUUAUGUGACUGCGCCUGUGCUCACAAGCUAACCUAGCUAGCUUCCGUACAACACUGAGAACGUGCUAGUUUUAAAUAAGCUUAUCUGCAAUAAAAUAUAUAUAUAUUGUAAUUUUUUAUAUUAUUUUAUAGCCGUUAAACGGCGAUCUUUGCUCAGUUAGGAGUGAGACUUUUACGUAUUUCCAAUGCGAGUUCAUCGCGCGAGCGCGGGAUUUUCAAAUUUCAAAUAACCGACAUGAGCGUUGCCCCUCGGUCGGUUUGGAUGCGACGAGGAUUUUACGAGUCAGCGGCAUUUGUUCAGGUUGGUGCAAUAUUUUCUGACAUAUACUCUCCGUCCGCAGGUGUUAGAGCAGAGAACUACUGGAAACGGAAAACAGAAGUACAGAGACUUGCCCUAAUGGAAAGGUAACCCAUGAACAUUAAAUAGAAAUGUGCUGUCAUGCUAUGCAUUUCCUGAGGUAAUUUACACGAACCUACCAAAAUGGUGUUUGAGUUAUUUCACUCUACAUAUUGUUUGCAUUGUAUAUCGUAUUAUCAUAAAUCUAUUAUUUGUUUCAUACGGUAAAGGAAAAUAAUCAAAUUACUUACACAAGUAUUUGUUUAAUUAAGCUUUAACAUUUGUACCUUUUUCUAAGAUUGUGUACUCAUUUCACAGCACAUAAUUGAUUUCCUAAUUUAUUACAGCUAUUUUGACUUGAAACGUGUUCUUUAUCAUCUAAAAUGUGUCUCUUGGUGUUUACCUCCAAUGGCCAUUCUGUGAAAGUGUCCCAUUCUAGAGCUGAGAAGAGACAGCAGGAAAGGGAAUCAUCUGCUAGUGUCGCUCCAGAUGUCUACAUGUCCACAAGUUGUUUAAGAAAAAGUAAGUAGGUACGACUAUUGCAAACACAAGGCAAGAAGUUAUCAGAGAUGAACCCUUCAUCACCGAGUUCAAAACCAGAUGGCCUGCUCUCUUCUGUGUUUCUGAGAAUAAAUUUAAGAGGACUACAACAGUUUGCUGCAACAGUUCUUCUCCAUGCUGGAUGGUUAUUCUUCAGACCUGAAAACGGUGUUUGGCAAGGAAGGCGGCAUUCAAGGACAAAAGAUUAAGAGCAUCAUGGUUCCCAUAACCCAGACUAACUCCAUUGAUGUCAGAAGAGUACAUCCUUUAAGCCCAGUGUGUGUUCCUCAAUGAAGAUCCUGGCAACCUUGUGAAAUAAUGGAUGAUCGUGGACGCCUUGAAGAAGCCAUGAUAGAGACAAUUCUUGAAGUUUUUUUCAUUCACAAAGAUGCAGAGGCAGAUGAUGACCCUGAAGAUGUAGUCAUCGUUUCAAGUCCUGGAUGAGUUGGGUAGUGUCCCACUUGCUGUGUUGUUGUUUGCUCUUGUUAUAUGCUCUCAACCUCAGCUACCCUCCACUAAAAGUUGUUUGAAAUAUUGGCCCAAUGCUGUAUGUACAAUACUGGAUGUUAGUGACAUUUUGUAGCUGCCUUUGACAUUUGAAAGCUGUUUUAUCGUUUUUAUGAAGCUUAUAAAGUAUUCUAACCAGUCUAAAUCCAA